This 125-nucleotide small RNA is filed under the name Marmota monax (woodchuck). The record is from RNAcentral. Lineage: Eukaryota; Metazoa; Chordata; Mammalia; Rodentia; Sciuridae.
GCCAGGCGUGGUGAUGCACGCCUGUGAUCCCAGCAGCCUAGGAGGCUGAGGCAAGAGGAUGGAGAGUUCAAAGCCAGACUCAGGAACCACAAAAUGCUAAGCAACUCAGUGAGACCCUGUCUCUA